CAGAGGGGGCAAGCGUUGUUCGGAAUUACUGGGCGUAAAGGGCGCGUAGGCGGCCUUCUAAGUCGAACGUGAAAUCCCUGGGCUCAACCCAGGAACUGCGUCCGAUACUGGGAGGCUUGAAUCCGGGAGAGGGAUGUGGAAUUCCAGGUGUAGCGGUGAAAUGCGUAGAUAUCUGGAGGAACACCGGUGGCGAAGGCGGCAUCCUGGACCGGUAUUGACGCUGAUGCGCGAAAGCCAGGGGAGCAAACGGGAUUAGAUACCCCGGUAGUCCUGGCCCUAAACGAUGAAUGCUUGGUGUGGCGGGUAUCGAUCCCUGCCGUGCCGAAGCUAACGCAUUAAGCAUUCCGCCUGGGGAGUACGGUCGCAAGGCUG
Molecule: ribosomal RNA, 372 nt
Filed under: uncultured organism
Description: bacterial SSU rRNA
Rfam family: Bacterial small subunit ribosomal RNA
Source: RNAcentral